This 493-nucleotide ribosomal RNA is filed under the name uncultured bacterium. Its description in RNAcentral is "bacterial SSU rRNA". It matches the Rfam family "Bacterial small subunit ribosomal RNA", at positions 903 to 1397 of the family's 1533-position model. The record is from RNAcentral.
AAAUGAAUAGACGGGGGCCCGCACAAGCAGUGGAGUAUGUGGUUUAAUUCGAAGAUACGCGAAAAACCUUACCAGGGCUUGACAUCCCUAGAAGGUCGUGGAAACACGACUGUGCCUUCGGGAACUAGGUGACAGGUGGUGCAUGGUUGUCGUCAGCUCGUGUCGUGAGAUGUUGGGUUAAGUCCCGCAACGAGCGCAACCCUUAUUGUUAGUUGCUAACAUUCAGUUGAGCACUCUAAUGAGACUGCCGUUGACAAAACGGAGGAAGGUGGGGACGACGUCAAAUCAUCAUGCCCCUUAUGUCCUGGGCUACACACGUACUACAAUGGCGAUUCACAACGUGCAGCAAUGGCGCGAGCCGGAGCCAAUCACCAAAAAUCGCCCCAGUUCGGAUUGCAGGCUGAAACUCGCCUGCAUGAAGUUGGAAUUGCUAGUAAUCGCGAAUCAGCAUGUCGCGGUGAAUACGUUCCCGGGCCUUGUACACACCGCCCGU